AACGAACGCUGGCGGCAUGCCUAACACAUGCAAGUCGAACGAGACCUUCGGGUCUAGUGGCGCACGGGUGCGUAACGCGUGGGAAUCUGCCCUUGGGUUCGGAAUAACAGUUAGAAAUGACUGCUAAUACCGGAUAAUGUCUUCGGACCAAAGAUUUAUCGCCCAGGGAUGAGCCCGCGUAGGAUUAGCUAGUUGGUGAGGUAAAGGCUCACCAAGGCGACGAUCCUUAGCUGGUCUGAGAGGAUGAUCAGCCACACUGGGACUGAGACACGGCCCAGACUCCUACGGGAGGCAGCAGUGGGGAAUAUUGGACAAUGGGCGAAAGCCUGAUCCAGCAAUGCCGCGUGAGUGAUGAAGGCCUUAGGGUUGUAAAAGCUCUUUUACCCGGGAUGAUAAUGACAGUACCGGGAGAAUAAGCCCCGGCUAACUCCGUGCCAGCAGCCGCGGUAAAU
RNAcentral lists this ribosomal RNA (452 nucleotides) under uncultured bacterium. RNAcentral's name for it is "bacterial SSU rRNA". It matches the Rfam family "Bacterial small subunit ribosomal RNA", at positions 29 to 525 of the family's 1533-position model. The record is from RNAcentral.